This 692-nucleotide unclassified non-coding RNA is filed under the name Pleroma semidecandrum. Its description in RNAcentral is "partial contains small subunit ribosomal RNA, internal transcribed spacer 1, 5.8S ribosomal RNA, internal transcribed spacer 2, and large subunit ribosomal RNA". The stretch from base 283 to 438 matches the Rfam family "5.8S ribosomal RNA". The record is from RNAcentral. Lineage: Eukaryota; Viridiplantae; Streptophyta; Magnoliopsida; Myrtales; Melastomataceae.
GGUUUCCGUAGGUGACCUGCGGAAGGAUCAUUGUCGAAAUCGAACGGAAGAACGACCCGCGAACCGUCUUUGCGUAACGAACCGAGCUCGCGAGCAGCAAACGCUCGCGCGUCUCGCGUCGCGUCGGCGCGGUCCUCGAAAGGGCCACGCCGCACCGACAAACUAACAAUGUCAGCACGGAUCGUGCCAAGGAGCUGUACAGGCGAGAGUCGCCGUCCCACGCCCCCGGUCCCCCUCGACUGGGGGCGGGUGACAUGCGCGAUCUCUGCUCUUAGUCUUAAUGACUCUCGGCAACGGAUAUCUCGGCUCUUGCAUCGAUGAAGAACGUAGCGAAAUGCGAUACUUGGUGUGAAUUGCAGAAUCCCGCGAACCAUCAAUUCUUUGAACGCAAGUUGCGCCCGAAGCCAUCCGGCCGAGGGCACGCCUGCCUGGGUGUCGUGAAUCCCCUUGCCCCAGGGCACCCGCACGAGCAUCGUCGCGGAUAUGCCCGGGCGCAGAAUAUGGUCUCCCGUCGGAUCGGCGUGCGCUGCACGUCGUGGGGCGGUUGGCCGAAAAUCGAGCAUUGCGACGUCGGGCUCCACGGCGUUCGGUGGAUCGAACGCGAUUGGCUGCGCCGUGGUCCCGUCAUGCCGCGGGCUCCGGACUACUACGACGAUUCCCGUGUGCGAUCCCAGGUCAGGCGGGGCUACCCG